Molecule: unclassified non-coding RNA, 432 nt
Filed under: soil metagenome
Description: partial contains 5.8S ribosomal RNA, internal transcribed spacer 2, and large subunit ribosomal RNA
Rfam family: 5.8S ribosomal RNA (bases 1-120)
Source: RNAcentral
GAUGAAGAACGUAGCGAAAUGCGAUACGUAAUGUGAAUUGCAGAAUUCAGUGAAUCAUCGAAUCUUUGAACGCAUAUUGCGCUCUCUGGUAUUCCGGAGAGCAUGCUUGUUUGAGUAUCAGUAAACACCUCAACUCCCCUUUCUUUUUUUGAAAUGGGAGCUGGACUUGAGUGAUCCCAACGCUAUUCUCACCGAAAAGUGGCGGGUUACUUGAAAUGCAGGUGCAGCUGGACUUUUCUCUGAGCUAAAAGCAUAUCUAUUUAGUCUGCCUAAUAAACAGAUUAUUACCUUUGCUGCAGCUAACAUAAAGGAGAUUAGUUCUUGUGCUGACUGAUGCAGGAUUCACAGAGACAGCUUCGGCUGGCCUUUGUAAACUCGAUCUCAAAUCAAGUAAGACUACCCGCUGAACUUAAGCAUAUCAAUAGCGGAGGA